AGAGAGAGACAUGCGCGCAUAUCAAUAAGCGGAGGAAAAGAAACUAACAAGGAUUCCCUUAGUAACGGCGAGUGAAGCGGGAAGAGCUCAAAUUUGAAAUCUUAAAGGGUUUCCCUUUACGAAUUGUAGUUUAAAGAAGUGUUUUCUGUUGAGGUUUUGGUAAAAGUUCUUUGGAAUAGGACAUCAUAGAGGGUGAGAAUCCCGUAUUUGACCUUUACUUUCAACUUUGUGAUACACUUUCAAAGAGUCGGACUGUUUGGGAAUGCAGUCCAAAAUGGGUGGUAAAUUUCAUCUAAAGCUAAAUAUUGGCGGGAGACCGAUAGCGAACGAUGUACCGUGAGGGAAAGAUGAAAAGAACUUUGAAAAGAGAGUUAAACAGUACGUGAAAUUGUCAAAAGGGAAGCGUUUGACACCAGUGUUGUUUUUCUGAAAAUCAAUUAAAGAACUGUUUAUGCUAAGUUGUUUAGACUUUAUCAGCUAACUGUUUAGUUUUGAGCUUUUCUUUAAUGCACUUUUCAGUUAACAAGUCAACAUCAAUUUCUUUUGCUGUAAAAAAGCUUGAGGAAGGUGGCUUGAGAUUCGUCUUAAGUGUUUAUAGCCUCUUGCCUAUGCAGUCGGAGAGAUUGAGGUCUGCAGCGUAGAUCCUUCGGGGCUAAAUGCAUUUGUGCUAAGUUAUAGCAUUUUAUAGACAACUUGUUGACUAUGAUUUGUCUUGUAGCUUACUCGCUUAUGUUAUUUUACCUACGCUUAGGAUGUUGAGCGCAUGUCUCUCUCU
Molecule: ribosomal RNA, 775 nt
Filed under: uncultured Neocallimastigales
Lineage: Eukaryota; Fungi; Neocallimastigomycota; Neocallimastigomycetes; Neocallimastigales
Description: partial large subunit ribosomal RNA
Rfam family: Eukaryotic large subunit ribosomal RNA
Source: RNAcentral